CUAGGCUAGUGACUUCCA
This 18-nucleotide non-coding RNA is filed under the name Arabidopsis thaliana (thale cress). The record is from RNAcentral. Lineage: Eukaryota; Viridiplantae; Streptophyta; Magnoliopsida; Brassicales; Brassicaceae.